Termitomyces sp. T159_Od127 is the source of this 93-nucleotide non-coding RNA. The record is from the annotation of a GenBank genome assembly. NCBI's taxonomy places the organism in Eukaryota, Fungi, Basidiomycota, Agaricomycetes, Agaricales, Lyophyllaceae.
UCUUUGCUAGUAUAUCGGUUAGUACACGCGCCUGUCAUCAUGAUGCUUCAUCAAUUGACGCGCGAAAGCUGGGUUCGACUCCCAGGCAAAGAG